This 311-nucleotide long non-coding RNA is filed under the name Musa acuminata (dwarf banana). RNAcentral describes it as "long non-coding RNA (MACU_LNC001323)". The record is from RNAcentral. Lineage: Eukaryota; Viridiplantae; Streptophyta; Magnoliopsida; Zingiberales; Musaceae.
CCGCCUAGAGGCUCAGUCUUCGAGCUCUGCCAGGCGGUGCAACCGCUCCAGUCAGGAGGUGCAACCGCCUGAUCCCGGAAUUCCGGGAUUUGAUCGUUUUGAGCUCCAAAUUUGAACUGGGUUGGGGCCUAUAAAUACCCCACCCAUUCAGCACUGAAAAGAUACAGACCUACACCGAAUCCUUGAUCUUUUCUGUGAUUCUAAGAGCUCAAAUUUGUGUAAAGUCCAAAAGUUCUCCUCUUUCUGUUCUUCAAGUCUUGAGUUGUAAAGAGAGGAGAGAAAGGUUCUGUAAGGGUUGUCUCCUGAGCCCG